RNAcentral lists this ribosomal RNA (222 nucleotides) under Triticum aestivum (bread wheat). RNAcentral describes it as "partial small subunit ribosomal RNA". Lineage: Eukaryota; Viridiplantae; Streptophyta; Magnoliopsida; Poales; Poaceae. The record is from RNAcentral.
AUGUACAAUAUUCAAAUAGGGGAGAUUCACGAAGAAGUAUUGUGCUAUUUACGAGUCAGUGGUAUUAUUGGACUGAUCUUCUGGUGGGAAAUGUUCUUCAUUUUAGAUAAUGAAACCAUUCCAUUACUACCAAUAUUACAUCCCCUGCUUCGGCCCAAGCCUACCGGCGAUGGGCCUCGCUCCGCUCGUUCAUUAGAAGUUAGCCUUUCUCUUUAUACUUGA